This is a long non-coding RNA of Monopterus albus (swamp eel), 608 nucleotides long. RefSeq lists it as uncharacterized. The record is from RefSeq and is a predicted model, not a curated record. Lineage: Eukaryota; Metazoa; Chordata; Actinopteri; Synbranchiformes; Synbranchidae. The transcript is spliced from 4 exons.
CACAGAAGAAGAAAUAAAAGCAGACGAAGAAGAGGAACACAUCUAAACCUAAUGACGUUACGUUGUCAUUUUGUGUUGAACUGCUUAACGUUUGGAGGAAAGUAUCUUCUGCCUGAACCGGCAACUGGGAAUUGCGUGUUUGAAACUACCUUUUGUCUUUUUAACAUAUGGGACAACACGUACUACCUGCUACAUGAGCCGGCGCGAGAGUUUACGAACAUUUAAUAACAGCAAGAAGUCAUCCAGCAGCUAACAUAGCUCACAGGCUAAUCGGCUAGUUAGCAGCUUAGCUGGCUCCAACGGCUCAAAUUAGCAUGUCGUCUCUGUUCAGAAUCCCCAAGAAGACACAAGCGGCAGGUUCCGACUCCAACAGUCUACACAUGCAGUCUCCACUGUCUCGGCUGCAGGUGUCUGCCCCAGGACUUAAGAGUUACAGUGAUCAGUCGAGCACAGGUGGAGCAGACAGGAUGCAUGCUGGGAAUGCACUCGGUUCCACAACAAGCAGACAGAGUGUGCCAUGUAAGCCUCUGUUCAAAGACGUGGUGAAAACGCUGCUGGGACUCAACAGCCCAGGCAGAGGUAGAGCGUCGGCAGCCAAUCCCAGAUCA